CUCUGAUACCAAAUGAUAAGACCCUAAAGUCUUAUCGUAGGCUCUGAUACCAAAUGAUAAGACCCUAAAGUCUUAUCGUGGAAGAAAGAGGAGAAAUGGGGAUGAUAAUGAUCUCUUCGAGGGGAUCGGCCUCCUUGAUCGCUUCGAGGGGAUCGGCCCUCCUUGAUCUCUUCGAGGGGAUCGGCCCUCCUUGAUCACUUCGAGGGGAUCGGCC
Molecule: long non-coding RNA, 214 nt
Filed under: Musa acuminata (dwarf banana)
Lineage: Eukaryota; Viridiplantae; Streptophyta; Magnoliopsida; Zingiberales; Musaceae
Description: long non-coding RNA (MACU_LNC008349)
Source: RNAcentral